Alligator mississippiensis (American alligator) is the source of this 46-nucleotide non-coding RNA. The record is from Rfam. Lineage: Eukaryota; Metazoa; Chordata; Crocodylia; Alligatoridae.
CACACGGCCCUAUUCAGGGCCACACUCACUCCACCCCUCUCUAACU